This 327-nucleotide long non-coding RNA is filed under the name Lathyrus oleraceus (garden pea). RNAcentral's name for it is "Pisum sativum (pea) long non-coding RNA (PSAT_LNC001313)". Lineage: Eukaryota; Viridiplantae; Streptophyta; Magnoliopsida; Fabales; Fabaceae. The record is from RNAcentral.
AUAGUUGCGGUUUAAGUUGUUUAGGUUGAGAAGCUCUAUGCAAACAGUGCACAGAAGUGCAUGUUCAUGCUAAGAACAAAAUAUGGCGCUUAGAGCGCUUCUGCUGCUCAACUUCUUUGUUCUAUGCUUUUUGUGAUGUUUAGCCUUGAUGUGUUGAUAAGAGGGAGUGCAAAAGGAUUUAUUUUUAAUAUUUGUAUUUGUUUAUGAUGGGUUUGUGUUGUUUUAUUUUUUUUUCUGAUUUUUACAAAUGAGUUCUAAACUCGGCGCUUCCAAAAUGCAAAAGACAAAUGUUGGGACAUCCUUUGCACAUAGACCUAAAGAGGGUCC